Molecule: transfer RNA, 67 nt
Filed under: Lacerta viridis (green lizard)
Lineage: Eukaryota; Metazoa; Chordata; Lepidosauria; Squamata; Lacertidae
Description: transfer RNA-Thr
Rfam family: tRNA
About the family: Transfer RNA (tRNA) molecules are approximately 80 nucleotides in length. Their secondary structure includes four short double-helical elements and three loops (D, anti-codon, and T loops).
Source: RNAcentral
GCCCUAGUAGCUUAAGCCUAAAGCGCUGGUCUUGUAAGCCAGAAAUGAAACACACCCUCCUAGGACA